RNAcentral lists this RNase P RNA (403 nucleotides) under Candidatus Synechococcus spongiarum. RNAcentral describes it as "Bacterial RNase P class A". It matches the Rfam family "Bacterial RNase P class A". Rfam says of the family: Ribonuclease P (RNase P) is a ubiquitous endoribonuclease, found in archaea, bacteria and eukarya as well as chloroplasts and mitochondria. Its best characterised activity is the generation of mature 5'-ends of tRNAs by cleaving the 5'-leader elements of precursor-tRNAs. The record is from Rfam by way of RNAcentral. Lineage: Bacteria; Bacillati; Cyanobacteriota; Cyanophyceae; Synechococcales; Synechococcaceae.
AAAGGAGGCGAGGCGACCGCGGCACGGCCGAGUUUGCUCGGCGCGUGCUGAGGAAAGUCCGGGCUCCCCCAUGGCCAGGCCUGCUGGGUAACGCCCAGUGCGGGUGACCGUGAGGAUAGUGCCACAGAAACACACCGCCGAUGGCCCCGGCUUUUGCCCCGGCACAGGUAAGGGUGCAAAGGUGCGGUAAGAGCGCACCAGCAGCAUCGAGAGGUGCUGGCUCGGUAAACCCCAGCCGGGAGCAAGGCGAAGAACCAAGGUUGGCCAUGUGCCGGUUCUGCUCAAACAUGCCGCUUGAGGCCUGUGGUAACACAGGUCCUAGAGAGAUGGUCGCCCCUGGGGAGGAAUGCAUUCCAUGGAGACCUCCCCAGGAACAGAACCCGGCUUAUGUCCUGCUUUCCAC